RNAcentral lists this RNase P RNA (379 nucleotides) under Dehalococcoidia bacterium. RNAcentral's name for it is "RNase P RNA component class A". It matches the Rfam family "Bacterial RNase P class A". From Rfam's summary of the family: Ribonuclease P (RNase P) is a ubiquitous endoribonuclease, found in archaea, bacteria and eukarya as well as chloroplasts and mitochondria. Its best characterised activity is the generation of mature 5'-ends of tRNAs by cleaving the 5'-leader elements of precursor-tRNAs. The record is from RNAcentral. Lineage: Bacteria; Bacillati; Chloroflexota; Dehalococcoidia.
UCAGGGGGCCAGACGGCCGCCGGUUCCCCUCGGGGGACGGGAGGAACGUCCGAACUCCUUCGGGCAGAGUGCCGGCUAACGGCCGGGCGGCGUGAGCCGACGGAAAGUGCCACAGAAACAAACCGCCGGGCCGCCUUCGGGCGGAUCGGUAAGGGUGAAAUGGUGCGGUAAGAGCGCACCGGCGUUCCUGGUAACAGGGCGGCCGGGCAAACCCCACUCGGAGCAAGGCCAAAUAGGGGGGCAUACGGGUCGCCCGACCCUGUCCCCGGGUAGGCUGCUUGAGGCGGCGGGUAACCGUCGCCCUAGAUGGAUGGCCGUCGCCGCCCGCUGGUGGGCUCAGCAGGCGGUACAGAAUUCGGCGUACCGGCCCCCUGGCAGC